CCAGUCGCGUCGAGGCUCAGGUGUAUGCUGAAUUGAUGGGCCCAGAACGUUAUGGUCGCGUGAGGGGUUACGGUGUCGGAGUUACCCCCACUCAGCUAUCUGCAGUGAGCCGAUAUACCCAAGAUGCCAGACAAGGUACUAGCACUGCAGAGGUUUGUAGUUUGAAGACAGAGAUGGCACAGAUAAAGCAGUCAUAUGA
This 199-nucleotide long non-coding RNA is filed under the name Phoenix dactylifera (date palm). RNAcentral describes it as "long non-coding RNA (PDAC_LNC016221)". The record is from RNAcentral. Lineage: Eukaryota; Viridiplantae; Streptophyta; Magnoliopsida; Arecales; Arecaceae.